RNAcentral lists this ribosomal RNA (2166 nucleotides) under Triticum aestivum (bread wheat). RNAcentral describes it as "partial small subunit ribosomal RNA". The record is from RNAcentral. Lineage: Eukaryota; Viridiplantae; Streptophyta; Magnoliopsida; Poales; Poaceae.
AUGGCGCAGCCGAACCACCGGUACGGCGGCCACCGUGACCUGGAAGCCGUGAUAGACAUGGACCACCCGGAGAAGCCGACCGCGAAAGGCGGCAGCCGGUUCAGCUUCACCGGCGGGCUGGAGUUCACCAGCCUUACGUACACGGUGGUCAAGAAGCAGCGCGGAGUCGGCGGGGAGUGGGAGAAGAAGGACGUGGACCUUCUGCACGAGAUCACGGGGUACGCGCCCAAAGGCUGCGUCACCGCCGUGAUGGGUCCCAGCGGCGCCGGCAAGUCGACAUUCCUGGACGCGCUCGCCGGGCGCAUCUCCAGCCUCGACGGCCGCGUGGCGCUCGACGGCGUCGAGAUGAGCCCCAGCGUCAUCAAGCGUUCGUCCGCCUACGUCAUGCAGGACGACCGCCUCUUCCCCAUGCUCACCGUCUACGAGACGCUCUUGUUCGCCGCCGACUUCCGCCUCGGCUCCGCCGUUUCCCCCUCCGACAAGAAGCUCCGCGUCGACAACCUCAUCGAGCAGCUCGGACUCACGACAUCAAGAAACACGUACAUCGGGGACGAGGGCACGAGGGGCGUGUCCGGCGGAGAGCGCCGGCGCGUCUCGAUCGGCGUGGACAUCAUCCACGGGCCGGCGCUGCUGUUCCUCGACGAGCCGACGUCGGGGCUCGACUCGACGAGCGCGCACAGCGUGAUCGAGAAGGUGCACGACAUCGCGUGCGCAGGGAGCACCGUGGUGCUGACCAUCCACCAGCCGUCGUCGCGGAUCCUGCAGCUCCUCGACCACCUCAUCAUCCUGGCACGCGGGCAGCUAAUGUACAGCGGCGGGCCCAAGGAGGUGACCGCGCACCUCGGCCGCAUGGGCCGCAAGGUGCCCAAAGGGGAGAACUCCAUCGAGCACCUCCUCGACGUCAUCCAGGAGUACGACCAGUCCGAGUUCGGCGUCAACGCCCUCGCCGAGUUCUGCCUCACCGGUCUGAAGCCGCGCAAGCUCGCCGCCGAGGGGAUCUCCACCGUGUCUAGCAUCCCUCCGACACCGGUUGGGCCCGGGGGCGAGGACUUCGACCACAGCCUCAGGAGCCAGCACUCCAAGUCCCCGUGGAGCGGCGCGCAGUUCACGCCGUCCCGGCGCCCCAAGAAAGAUCAAAGCGGCAAGUCACAGAACCCUCCAAGCUUGUCUCCGGGAAUCCACAGGUACGGGCCGGAGAUCGUGAUGGGGACGCCGACGCCGCUGAGCAGCAUCUCGGUGUACACGGUGAACGAGGCCGACUACCUGUCGCCGGCGCAGCGCGCGUCCGCCACGGGGGCGCCCGGCGUGGGCAUCAACGCGCUGGGGCACCGCGGCAAGUUCGCCAACUCGUACGCGGCGGAGGUGUGGGUGCUGAUGCGGCGCAACUUCACCAACAUCUGGCGCACGCCGGAGCUGUUCCUGUCGCGGCUGAUGGUGCUGACGGUGAUGGGGUUCCUGAUGGCCACCAUGUUCACCAAGCCCAAGGACAACACGCAGGGCAUCACCAACCGGCUCAGCUUCUUCAUCUUCACCGUGUGCGUCUUCUUCUUCUCCUCCAACGACGCCGUCCCGGCCUUCAUCCAGGAGCGCUUCAUCUUCAUCAGGGAGACCUCGCACAACGCGUACCGCGCGUCCGCGUACGUGGUCGCCGGGGUGAUCACGUACCUGCCCUUCCUCCUGCUCCAGUCCGCCGCCUACGCCCUCAUCACCUGGUGGGCCAUCGGGCUCCACGGCCAGUUCGUCUACUUCCUCGUCAUGCUCUACGCCUCGCUCCUCUCCACCAACUCCUUCGUCGUCUUCAUCAGCUCCAUCGUGCCAAACUUCAUCCUUGGGUACGCGGCGGUGAUCGCGUUCACGGCGCUCUUCUUCCUCUUCUGCGGCUACUUCGUGGACAGCCAGAGCAUCCCGCAGGGGUGGAAGUGGAUGAACACCGUGUCCACGAUGAAGUACCCGUACGAGGGCCUCCUGAUGAACGAGUUCGGCGGGACGCGCAUCUUCUCCUCGAACCCGCCGCUCGACGGCAACGCCAUCCUCGAGAACCUCACCAUCAGCGUGCACAAGGACCGCAAGUGGAGGAUGGUGCUCUACCUCCUCGGCUGGGCCGUCUUCUACCGCGUGCUCUUCUACCUCGUCCUCCGCUUCGCCUCCAAGAACAAGAGGAAGUAG